Mustela putorius furo (domestic ferret) is the source of this 114-nucleotide ribosomal RNA. NCBI's taxonomy places the organism in Eukaryota, Metazoa, Chordata, Mammalia, Carnivora, Mustelidae. The record is from Ensembl.
GUCUACGGCCAUACCACCCUGAACGCGCCCGAUCUCGUCUGAUCUCGGAAGCUAAGCAGGGUCGGGCCUGGUUAGUACUUGGAUGGGAGACAGUGACGAUGAGUGCCUUGCACA